UGCCAGCCGCCGCGGUAACACGGGGGGCGCAAGCGUUAUCCGGAAUUAUUGGGCGUAAAGGGCGCGCAGGCGGUCUUGUCCGUCAGGUGUGAAAUCCCAGGGCUCAACCCUGGAACUGCCUUCGAUACUGGUAGUCUUGAGGUCGAGAGAGGUGAGUGGAAUUCCGAGCGUAGAGGUGAAAUUCGUAGAUAUUGGGAAGAACACCAGUGGCGAAGGCGGCUAACUGGCUCGGUACUGACGCUGAGAUGCGAAAGCGUGGGGAGCAAACAGGAUUAGAUA
This 279-nucleotide ribosomal RNA is filed under the name uncultured bacterium. Its description in RNAcentral is "partial 16S ribosomal RNA". It matches the Rfam family "Bacterial small subunit ribosomal RNA", at positions 506 to 784 of the family's 1533-position model. The record is from RNAcentral.